RNAcentral lists this unclassified non-coding RNA (211 nucleotides) under uncultured Orbiliaceae. Its description in RNAcentral is "sequence contains ITS1". The record is from RNAcentral. Lineage: Eukaryota; Fungi; Ascomycota; Orbiliomycetes; Orbiliales.
AAAAAGGUAACGCUUUCAGCGUUUACUCCUCUCCUCUCCUGCCGCAAGGCGGGGGAGUGCUUGAGUCCUUUCAACCCAUUGUGAACUUUAUACCUUUUGCUUCGGCAGCACGCCCCUUUCAAACCGGGGUUGGUAAGGCUGCCGAUAGCCCAUUAUAAACUAUUUUAUUUUAAAUCAUGAAGUCUGAUUACUGUUAAAUUUAAACAAGUUA